Molecule: long non-coding RNA, 1336 nt
Filed under: Gallus gallus (chicken)
Lineage: Eukaryota; Metazoa; Chordata; Aves; Galliformes; Phasianidae
Description: lncRNA (ENSGALG00010019656.1)
Source: RNAcentral
AAUCAUUAAGGUUGGAAAUACCACUAAGAUCAUCUAGUCUGACCAUCAGCCUGCGCCUGUGACCACUCUAGACCGUGUCCACGCCCUUCUGUGCAUCACCUACCCGUUUCUUGAAUAGCUCCACCACAUCCCUGGGCAGCCUGUUCCAAUACCUCACCACUCUUUCUGAGAAUAAUUUUUUCCUAAUAUCCAACCUAAGGAAGAGAGUGAUGCUGGUGUAAUAUCCUAUGCUCGUCUGGGAUGUGGAGCCUGAAGAGAAUGGUGCUGACGGGGUCAGGCAGAAGUGAAGAACGGCAGCAGUGGCAAAUGCAAAGACCCCUCACUCUUAACACCUCUUUCUCAUGCUUAAGACUUGAAAAGCAUCCCUGCUGCUGUUCCAGGAUCUGUAAGUCAAGGUGAUGAGGAGGAGAGGGGUGUGAUGAAGGAACGUAGUGUUUGUGGAGGUCCUGGCCAAGGUACGGUGCUCCAGCAAUGGGAUGCAGCAGUGUGCUUAAUGAGUAAUUCCCACAUUGAUGUUGUUCCAGACCAUCUGAUCCCAGCCUCUGGAAGUCCUUCCUGCUGGAAAGCAGCAGUCCCUGUAUGAACUACGAGCACGGUUGAGUCGGAAGUCGCCUUCAUAACAGCUUUGAUGUUUCAACGCUUUUUACAGGAGAUGAGAUUUGAUAACCUGCUUCCUGACCUGUGGAUAGAGAGCAGAAUGAAACCCAAAUUCUUGAGAGAGUAACCAAACACCUCUGGGAAGAGCCACAGAACAGUCGGGCUGAUUUGUAGGGCCGUGGGUUUGCCAGGAAACCUCCCUGAGCUAUUACUUUAAAUUGCCACUAAGUGGCAGCCAAGUAAAAAUUAUGGUAAAAUGAAACUUUCCCAAAUAAAUAUUUCAUCUAACGUCAGCGCAAGGUGCAGCAGCAUCAACAGAAUUCCUGAGCCCUGUGGUGCCCGGGAAGCUACACCAAGGGAGGAGAUGGCAAUAAGAGGGAUCUGUGGGAAUCCAUGUGGGUUUUCCUUGGGAGGAGCACAGUGUGCAGCAUGGUGUGCUUCCUGACUUGUUACAGAACCACAGAAUCAUUCAGGCUGGAAAAGACCUCUAAGACCCCCAAGUCCAGCCCCAGCCCACCCCACCAUGCCCAUAAUCACAUCCUUCAGUGCCACAUCCCCACUGUUCUGGAGCAUCUCCACGGACGGUGACCCCACCACUCCCUGGGCAGCUGUGCCCGUGCAGCACUGCUCCUUCAGUGAAGAAAUGUUUCCUAACUUAUCUCUUUUUAAAAAUCAGUCUAAAUAGGUUCAGGACAUCGAUUAAUUGCCAUAAGCACGUGCGUGCUUGGCAUAAAGGCAG